Amblyraja radiata (thorny skate) is the source of this 102-nucleotide long non-coding RNA. RefSeq lists it as uncharacterized. NCBI's taxonomy places the organism in Eukaryota, Metazoa, Chordata, Chondrichthyes, Rajiformes, Rajidae. The transcript has 3 exons. The record is from RefSeq and is a predicted model, not a curated record.
AGCUGGGUGAAGGCCUAGCUGGAGAGCUGGAGGAAUCACAGGGGGUUCAGCAAGAGAGGAUGUUGCAUAAUUCUCGUUGGAGAGAGGAGGAGAACUUCAAAG